GCAGUCGACGAAGUAGCAAUACUUAGUGGCAGACGGGUGAGUAACAUGUGGGUAUCUACCCUUUGGCCUGGAAUAACACGAGGAAACUUGUGCUAAUACCGGAUAAGUCUUUACGGAGAAAGCUUUAUGCACCAUUGGAUGAGCCCGCACUUGAUUAGUUUGUUGGUAGGGUAAUGGCCUACCAAGACUAUGAUCAAUAGCUGAUUUGAGAGGAUGAUCAGCCACAUUGGGACUGAGACACGGCCCAAACUCCUACGGGAGGCAGCAGUGGGGAAUCUUGCACAAUGGAGGAAACUCUGAUGCAGCGAUGCCGCGUGAGUGAAGAAGGCCUUUGGGUUGUAAAGCUCUUUCGUCGGGGAAGAAAAUGACUGUACCCGAAUAAGAAGGUCCGGCUAACUUCGUGCCAGCAGCCGCGGUAAUACGAAGGGACCUAGCGUAGUUCGGAAUUACUGGGCUUAAAGAGUUCGUAGGUGGUUGAAAAAGUUGGUGGUGAAAUCCCAGAGCUUAACUCUGGAACUGCCAUCAAAACUUUUCAGCUAGAGUAUGAUAGAGGAAAGCAGAAUUUCUAGUGUAGAGGUGAA
This 581-nucleotide ribosomal RNA is filed under the name uncultured bacterium. RNAcentral describes it as "bacterial SSU rRNA". It matches the Rfam family "Bacterial small subunit ribosomal RNA", at positions 57 to 685 of the family's 1533-position model. The record is from RNAcentral.